GACGAACGCUGGCGGCGUGCCUAAUACAUGCAAGUUGAGCGCUGAAGGUUGGUACUUGUACCAACUGGAUGAGCAGCGAACGGGUGAGUAACGCGUGGGGAAUCUGCCUUUGAGCGGGGGACAACAUUUGGAAACGAAUGCUAAUACCGCAUAAAAACUUUAAACACAAGUUUUAAGUUUGAAAGAUGCAAUUGCAUCACUCAAAGAUGAUCCCGCGUUGUAUUAGCUAGUUGGUGAGGGAAAGGCUCACCAAGGCGAUGAUACAUAGCCGACCUGAGAGGGUGGUCGGCCACAUUGGGACUGGGACACCGCCCCAGCUCCUACGGGAGGCAGCAGUAGGGAAUCUUCGGCAAUGGACGAAAGUCUGACCGAGCAACGCCGGGUGAGUGAAGAAGGUUUUCGGAUCGUAAAACUCUGUUGGUAGAGAAGAACGUUGGUGAGAGUGGAAAGCUCAUCAAGUGACGGUAACUACCCAGAAAGGGACGGCUAACUACGUG
RNAcentral lists this ribosomal RNA (497 nucleotides) under uncultured bacterium. Its description in RNAcentral is "partial 16S ribosomal RNA". It matches the Rfam family "Bacterial small subunit ribosomal RNA", at positions 28 to 507 of the family's 1533-position model. The record is from RNAcentral.